This 59-nucleotide ribosomal RNA is filed under the name uncultured fungus. RNAcentral describes it as "partial 28S ribosomal RNA". It matches the Rfam family "Eukaryotic large subunit ribosomal RNA", at positions 1 to 58 of the family's 3401-position model. Lineage: Eukaryota; Fungi. The record is from RNAcentral.
UUGACCUCGGAUAAGGUAGGGAUACCCGCUGAACUUAAGCAUAUCAAUAAGCGGAGGAA